UCAUGAGCUAACGGGCCUCGAUCCCAUAAAACUUUAAUUAACAACUAAAUGUCCAA
This 56-nucleotide transfer RNA is filed under the name Paroedura sp. tg1062. RNAcentral describes it as "tRNA-Asn". The record is from RNAcentral. Lineage: Eukaryota; Metazoa; Chordata; Lepidosauria; Squamata; Gekkonidae.